Molecule: long non-coding RNA, 3044 nt
Organism: Amphiprion ocellaris (clown anemonefish)
Lineage: Eukaryota; Metazoa; Chordata; Actinopteri; Pomacentridae
Source: Ensembl
UUUAUUCAUUUUCUGAGACCGGAAGUGGUCAUCAGCAAGUGUGGAGCCAAACGACAACAAGAUUCUCAGAGGGCGGAGCCAGAGAGCAGUGAUUGGUCAGACUGACUGAGAGCCAGAGAGCAGUGAUUGGUCAGACCAUAGAUAAUAUAGAAGACAGCGGGCUAGCGUAUCAAGUCUGCUAUAUAUAUAUGGUCGGAACGUCUGGUAGCAUCUCUGGCUGCUGUUGACCUUGUUUUUGGAGUAAAACACGGUGGAAGCUGAAUUAGUGAGGAUGACUCCUGCUCCUGUCAUCUCUAAGCUCCUCACACAUCUUUACCUGCACAUGAGGAAAAUCACUCCUGUAGAAUGCAGAUGUUCAGAGGGAGAUGAUGCCACAUCUGGUCCAGCUGAUGGAAGGUCUUGAAGUUCUCUGACUGGCCUCGACUGAAGAUGGUCGUCUCACUGGAUUUAAGGUUCAGAUGCUCAGUAACAAACUCCACCAAUGAGCCAACAGGGAAGCUUUAGGUUUAUUAAAUGUUGCUAUGAAGGUUUCACUGUUUUUCUUUGUGAAUGCAAUGAGCUCCAACUGAAACUUGAAUUAGAACUUAGAAGUAAAUCCUUCCAUCUGACAGGAUUUAGUUGCAUUAAUAACCUCAUAACAUUCUAAUUUUUAUUCCAGUCUUGGUUGGAAAUAGAAUCUCUGUAUUGAUUCAGGUAAAAACUGAACUUCACAGCAUGUUGGAGCAAAACAACCAGAUGAAAACUGUGAUGGUGUUGGAUUGUCAGACUGUAAUGUUGUAGCUCAAAGCAGCUUUUCUAGCUCAGUUCAUUCUGACAUUCAGCUAUGAAUCAACACAGCAGAUGGUGAUCCAUGCUGUGGAAGUCUCACAUCUCCUGAUUUAAUGGAGCUGCUUUGCACUUUUUACACUGUUUAUUCACCAACACUUUAUUUAAUAAAAGUCCCAUCUAGUUUUUAUGAGGAAUGUGAUGUUUUAAUUUCUCUGUGAAUAACUGCAGUCUAAUGCAACAGCUGGAAUUGUAACAUCUGUCCUGAUAUUGAGCAUGAAGUAUUGAUCAGAAUACUUAUGGUCAGCAGUCAUCCCUGAAGUUUUACAUUAAAAUCUUUACUUGUGUUGUGAACUUUGGUAAGAAGCAGAAACGUUAGCGUUGCCAUGGAUACAUGAGUGUUAAAUUCUGUCCAUGUUUCCAUUUUGGGAAAUUCAGUCCAGCAGAUGAGUUUGUUUUUACUGCCAGAUACCAUUCAGUCUGAGAUAUUAACAAUAAAUAAAUGUGCAUAAUGUGGAAAUGAACAGAUUUUAUUUUUAUUUAUUCCUACAGCUUCUGCAUGGAAAGUUCCAGAAUGUGGAGGAAUUUAGUCUCACAAUCACAGACAAUAAAUAUUAUCUGAAAGUUAGGUUAUUGUUGUUUAUCAGCACAAUACAAAAAGAUUCAUGUUAGAAAUAUUCCAGUUAAGACUCUAGAAUAUCAGGAUUUAUGUAAAUUUACCUCAAUAAUAUGACUGUUCAGGGUAAGAUUGUGCAGUGAUAUUUAUUAUGUAAGUUUAGCUGAUUAAAAUUUAUGACUCUGCACUACAGUAUUAUUUAUUAUUUAAAUUGACAUCAUUAUUAUAAUAUUUAGGGUCAGAAUCUACAGUAUUGAGAUUAAGAAAUCAAACAUUCUAUAAAAUGUAAAUACACUGAACUCAUUUGGAUAUAUUUAAGUGAGACUCUACAAUAUUAUUUGACACAAAUCUAUCUAAAUUUUAAUCAUUUUUACUCCAAACAUUUAGUGGACUGAUUUAAAUAUUAAAAUCACUCCUUUCUAAUCCUCUGCUGUACGUUCAAACCUGAGGCCUUAAAUAGAAACACACAAGUAUCUGAUUGAAGGAACUUCUGCAGAGUCCUGGUUCCAGAACAUGAUGAUAGAAUUAUAGACAAACUUUAACAAAAGCUGCCUGAGAGUUUACAGGUUUUUAUGUUGGAUUUCUUCAGUAAUUUAAUGAGUUAUCAGCAAUAAUCAAGUGUUCAUUUGAUGAACUUCAUUUCCUAAAACAUCCAGAAUUGGAGCUCAUAUCUUUGGCAGCUGUAAAGUUUCUGCUCCUUCAAAGUUCACAACACAAUGAAUGAAUUCCUAAAACACUCUCAAUGCUGGAGAGCGUUUGUGAUGCUGAAGCAGUGAUCAGUUUUUCUGUUUCUUCUCUGGAGAUGCACAAUGAGGGACGUCUGCAGAGACUGAGAAAGAGUCUCACCACAUCCUGACAUGAGGAAAAAGACUUUAUUGAAGACUACAAUGAGAAAAACUAUCAGACAGCAGACGGCUGCAUUCAAGUCUGUAGCUGCUGAAUUCAUGGAUGAAUCAUCUGGUACUAGAGAGGAAGACCAUCAAACAUCCACGUCAGCUGAUGGAGGUCCAAGAGUCUCACCAAACAAACAACCUACAGAGUGAAGACCUCAAAUCUGAUUGGACGGCCUCCUAUUCAGCCACAUGUGUGAACAAAUGCCUCUAAGCUGAUUUGUUUUCUAAAAUAAAUCUAGUUUGAGUCCUAAUCUAUGCCUGAGUGUUUGCUUCUUUACACCGCUGUUAACAGUUUAGGCUGUUAGAUUGUUCCAGAUAAGACGAGUACAAGAUUCUUCAGAGCCGUUCUACCACGAGCCUGACAGGAAGAACUCCAACAGCUACUGAAUGUUCCUGUGGUUCCGUCAAGGCUACAGGAGGAGCCCUAUGAGGACGAGCCGGUCCACCUGAUGGUGGCCAGUCGCUGCGGUUCAAAGCCAACACUGACUACGUGGACUUCUACUGGACCACACGGAGGCCUUCAAACCGGACCAACAAGUUCAGUGACUCCCCGACUCAUGGGUCUGAGGACGCCGCCGAGCCUCGGUCCAGCCGGCCUCCUGUCUGUGGGUGUUUGAGUGCUGAGAGGUUUGUGGAUGUAUGUGAACGUUCUGUGUUGAAACAGCAGCUUUGGACUCAGUAACGCCGGGAAAAACCAAGAGCUCCUUUAUUUGUGACUUCCACUAAAAAACUGAUGAAAAUAAGUUUGGCAGGGUUCUGACUGAUAACAG